Molecule: ribosomal RNA, 397 nt
Filed under: uncultured bacterium
Lineage: Bacteria
Description: partial 16S ribosomal RNA
Rfam family: Bacterial small subunit ribosomal RNA
Source: RNAcentral
AUACGUAGGGGGCGAGCGUUGUCCGGAAUGAUUGGGCGUAAAGGGCGCGUAGGCGGCCCGGUAAGUCUGGAGUGAAAGUCCUGCUUUCAAGGUGGGAAUUGCUUUGGAUACUGCCGCGCUUGAGUGCAGGAGAGGUUAUCGGAAUUCUCGGUGUAGCGGUGAAAUGCGUAGAGAUCGGGAGGAACACCAGUGGCGAAGGCGGGUAACUGGACUGCAACUGACGCUGAGGCGCGAAAGUGUGGGGAGCAAACAGGAUUAGAUACCCUGGUAGUCCACACUGUAAACGAUGAAUGCUAGGUGUAAGAGGUAUCGACCCCUUUUGUGCCGGAGUCAACACAAUAAGCAUUCCGCCUGGGGAGUACGGCCGCAAGGUUGAAACUCAAAUGAAUUGACGGGG